This is a non-coding RNA of Triticum aestivum (bread wheat), 96 nucleotides long. The record is from Rfam. NCBI's taxonomy places the organism in Eukaryota, Viridiplantae, Streptophyta, Magnoliopsida, Poales, Poaceae.
UUCAUGCAGGCACAGAGACACAAGUUAUAUGGGUAAUUUGCGUCUGAGGCGUUUCUGUGAUGUCACUCUUUUAACCUUGGAGAUCUGAUGCAUUCU